RNAcentral lists this long non-coding RNA (1411 nucleotides) under Phasianus colchicus (ring-necked pheasant). RNAcentral's name for it is "lncRNA (ENSPCLG00000012943.1)". The record is from RNAcentral. Lineage: Eukaryota; Metazoa; Chordata; Aves; Galliformes; Phasianidae.
CUUGGCUUUGUUGAACGUCACAGGGUUCUCCUGGGCUCACUGCUCAGCUUGUCUGGGUCUCUCUGGAUGGCAUCUUGUCCCUCAAGCAUGUUGUACAUCCUGGUGUCACCUGCAAACUUGCUGAAGGCACAUUUGAUUGCACUGUCGAUGUCACUGAUGAAAGUGUUAAAGGGUAUUGAUUGACCCUUGAGAGACACCACAGUCACCAGUCUUCAUCUGGACACUGAGCCAUGGACCACCACUCUCUGGGUACGAUCUCACAACCAGUUCUUCAUCCACUGAACAGUCCACCCAUCAAAUCCAUAUCUUUGCAGUUUGAGAGAAGGAUGUUGUGGGGGACAGUGUCAAACACCUCACUGAAGUCCUGCUGGGUGACAUCAGUGGCCCUCCCCUUGUUCACUGACAUGGUUACAAUGUCAUAGCGGGCCAUAAAAGGAUGUUUUAUUUGUUGAUUAUGCACGUUAGCAUGUGCAGUAUAUGCUGAACUUUGAUACUAUAUACUAUACUAUACAUAUACUGUACAUUUGCUGUACAUGGAAAGGAUAUACUAUGCCUACACGCAUAUUGUAUGUACUACUUCUCCUAGGCAAGAAGAAAGAAGGAAAGAAGGAGAGGAAGAAGUGCGCUUGAGCUCUGCCAACAGUGUCAGAGUGAGAUUUGUCUCUGCUGGAGACCAGUGGAAUCUCCUGUGGCUGGAAAAGAACUUCUGGGACUACUCCUCUGGCCAGAGUGUCAUACAGAAGCCUGAAGACAGACAUUUCCUUCAGUACGAUGAGCAAAUGGCAGCCUCAGCUCCUGCUGGAAAUACAGGUCAGUUUGUGCUUCAGAAUGUGGUGCCCUUGUGCACAGCCCUGGGUCCCACAGCCUCUGCAAGUUGCUGGAGCAGUGAUUUCUUAGCCUACUCUUCAGUUCAUUGCUUAUCUGCUCCCAUAACUGCAUGGUGCGCUUGAGUCGCACGUGGAAUAUUUUGCUUCAUUCAGAUGGCUGACAAAAGUGUUUCUGCUUUGGAGAUUUGCAAUUUUACUGGUUAUAGAGGAUGUGUUUUUGUUUGUUUGCUUGUUUUUAUUUCUUUUUUUUUUUUCCCUAGACUGUUUUCAUAGUAUCAGUUUAAAAAUUACUUUUAUGUUUUGAAGCUCUCUGAGGUUAAUGCAAAUAGAGAAUGAACUACAAGCAUAGUGCAGAACAUGUAGAGGCAAGAAAGGGUGAGGACUUCUCACUGCUCAGACAUGAGAAGCUUUAGGAGUAAACAUAAGAAAAUUCAUGUAACUUUCAUGCUACUUUCUUGAAGGAGGUGGCUAGCUUGUACAUAAAUUGGUAUAUCUGUUUUUGCUUUAGUAUCAGGAGUGUAGCUGAUAUAUGUUGUAUUACACUAGCUAUUACUUCUUCUUUUGAAGCACCUGGUUGACUUCCC